This 446-nucleotide ribosomal RNA is filed under the name uncultured bacterium. RNAcentral's name for it is "bacterial SSU rRNA". It matches the Rfam family "Bacterial small subunit ribosomal RNA", at positions 329 to 792 of the family's 1533-position model. The record is from RNAcentral.
UGCCAGACUCCUACGGGAGGCAGCAGUGGGGAAUAUUGCACAAUGGGGGGAACCCUGAUGCAGCGACGCCGCGUGAGUGAAGAAGUAUUUCGGUAUGUAAAGCUCUAUCAGCAGGGAAGAAAAUGACGGUACCUGACUAAGAAGCCCCGGCUAACUACGUGCCAGCAGCCGCGGUAAUACGUAGGGGGCAAGCGUUAUCCGGAUUUACCGGGUGUAAAGGGAGCGUAGACGGUUAUGCAAGUCUGAAGUGAAAGCCCGCGGCUCAACCGCGGAAUGGCUUUGGAAACUUUUUUGCUGGAGUACCGGAGAGGUAAGCGGAAUUCCUAGUGUAGCGGUGAAAUGCGUAGAUAUUAAGAGGAACACCAGUGGCGAAGGCGGCCUACUGGACGGCAACUGACGCUGAGGCUCGAAAGCGUGGGGAGCAAACAGGAUUAGAUACCCCCGUA